GGGGGACAGGGUGACAGGUGGUGGCAUGGUUGUCGUCAGCUCGUGUCGUGAGAUGUUGGGUUAAGUCCCGCAACGAGCGCAACCCUCGACCUUAGUUGCCAGCAUUCAGUUGGGCACUCUAAGGUGACUGCCGGCUAAAAGUCGGAGGAAGGUGGGGAUGACGUCAAAUCAUCAUGCCCCUUAUGACCUGGGCUACACACGUGCUACAAUGGGCGGUACAAAGGGUCGCGAACCCGCGAGGGGAGCCAAUCCCAAAAAGCCGCUCUCAGUUCGGAUUGCAGGCUGCAACUCGCCUGCAUGAAGCCGGAAUCGCUAGUAAUCGCGGAUCAGCAUGCCGCGGUGAAUACGUUCCCGGGCCUU
Molecule: ribosomal RNA, 360 nt
Filed under: uncultured Anoxybacillus sp.
Lineage: Bacteria; Bacillati; Bacillota; Bacilli; Caryophanales; Anoxybacillaceae
Description: bacterial SSU rRNA
Rfam family: Bacterial small subunit ribosomal RNA
Source: RNAcentral